AAAAAAAAGGGAGGGGAGGGGAGGAAAGAAGAAAACGAACGCAGCAACACAAGAGAAAGGUGUAUGUUCCCGAAGAUGUUCCCCAAUUACUUCCUUUUCUUUUUGGUUCUUUCUUUUGUUUCCUUUUCUUUUUAUUUUGGGGUGCUUUUUCU
RNAcentral lists this non-coding RNA (152 nucleotides) under Palpitomonas bilix. The record is from RNAcentral.